Small nucleolar RNA from Microcebus murinus (gray mouse lemur), 72 nucleotides. NCBI's taxonomy places the organism in Eukaryota, Metazoa, Chordata, Mammalia, Primates, Cheirogaleidae. The record is from Ensembl.
UUCCAGAGUCAAAGAGGAAGUUUCCCAGUUCUGCUACUGACUUUAAGUGACAAUAAAAUAUGUCUGAGGGGA